This is a long non-coding RNA of Phasianus colchicus (ring-necked pheasant), 2398 nucleotides long. The record is from Ensembl. Lineage: Eukaryota; Metazoa; Chordata; Aves; Galliformes; Phasianidae.
GAGAACUUGCAGAAGGAAGGUGGAAUGGCAUCAGAUUAGAUGAAGAAGAGAACAAGGUAGUCAGUGAGGAAUAGGCACCACCUGGAGAAGGUGCAUCCGUGCUGAAUAACUGACCUGUGCUGGGAUGCUGGACAUGGCCAUGUGCAGAAAGCAGCUGCCUAUGAAAAUUUACCUGGGUAAGUGGGACACAGAAGGAAAAAUGAUGUACAAUGAAAACUGGAAGGAUUUCCAAGGAAAGAAAGAAUGACAGAGCCUGUAGAUGAAGACAUACCUGCAUGUUAAUGAGUAAAAAUCUGACCAGCAGUGAUCUUGUUAGAGAGAUAUGUAGACAAACAGUACUCUUCAAAUGUCAGGAGAGUUUGGAUUCAUCACCUAUCCCACUGCCCUGAGACCAAGAUCAGAAGUGAUUUCAUUCAUGAAGCCUCACUGCCAGAGCUCGUUAGUGAAGUGUGACAACAAGAGAAUAGAAAAAGAAAGAAAGAAAUCCCUCAAAGGGAAAGAGAAAAAGAAGGAAAAAGAAGGCAAAGAAGGCAAACCUGAUAUUCCGUCAGAGAGAAGCGCACUGGUGUUCCGAUCGGUAGUGACAGGACGAUCCUGAGUGAACAGAAGAUGAAUCAGUGGGUCUCGGAUAGAGCUGCCAACGGUGCCUUCUGCCUUCCAACUUGGAGGCCAGUUAGGUAUUUCCAGGGAAGCUCUACAAUUUCCAGGUGAAGGACUCACACUGAGCUUGAGCUUAUUGCCUUGAGCUGACUCCUGCUGCCCCUCCAGUGCUCAGGUGUGUGUCACAGAACUUCUUUGAAUGGACUGUAAACAAGAAAGGAAAUUGCCAGUUAACUAAUCUCAGUCAAAACUUAUCCUUGCUGAAAUACAAACUGAGCCACCUGCAAUGGGCACCAAAUUAGCCAUAAGAGUCCCCUGGAGCUUUAGAUGCUUCUCAUGUGCCCUUUUCUGCAGCGUUUCCACAUGCCUGUUAUUUCAGCUGCUAUUCACUGCUGCAGAAUCUGAGUCCUCAGGUCAGGGGAAAUUUGUCAUUACCAUGAGGACAGGGACAGGCUUCAAAAGCUGUUGUUGAUUUUCAAAUUAAAAAAUCCUUAUUAGCAGGAAAAAAGAAGAAAAGUUGAAACUUGUAAACAGAAAGCAGUAAGAGGAGAAUCACGUGUCUUUUGAUCAUGAUUAUGCUUUCAGAAGCAUAUUGCCAUAAUGAAGGGAUAAUUACUAGCUAUGCUGGGUUCUGUUUUCACACAUUUAUGACGAAUAGGCAUGGGAGCGGGCAGGUUGUCACUGAUUUUAGGCAAAGCUGUUCAGUAGGCACAAAGGAACUUAAACACCAAUAGGAAACAGUUCAGCCUCCAUAGCCUGCCUUUGUGUUUCCAGCAGGACUAAAUUUACUGACCAGCAGCAAAAACAGAGUGUGGAGUUGCAUCAGCAGUGUCCAGUCAUUGUAUGUGACAGUAAAAUAGUAAGUGUUAAAAUACCAGAAGCCUCAAACCAAGCAGCAGCAGUGUCAAAAAACUUUGUAUUAACUUAGCUGCCUUCUUGAACAUGUGCACAGAAUAUGAAGCCUUUCACCCAAAUCUAAGGGGUCUUGCAGUUCUGUAGUUCUCCAUCACAAUGCCUCCAGACUUUGGCAGAGUAACUAUCUUUUGAGGGACAGCACUGGACAGCAAUGCUUCCGUAGAUAAAAAACUUUCAGCUCUUGCUCUCACUACAGUCCUUCAAUACUGAAAGGCAUGUCCUCUCUACAACAUUGCUCUCUCCAGCUUCAUGAAAGGAGGUUGUGAUGAGGUGGGUGUGGGUCUCUUCUCUCAGGUAACAAGUGAUAGGAUGAUAGAGAAUGGCCUCAAGUUGUGCUGGAGGGUGUGAGGAGGUCAGGUUGGAUAUUGGGAAGAACUUCUCAGAAGGAGUGAUGAGGCAUUGGAACAGGCUGCCCAGGGAGGUGGUGGAGUCACUCCCAGGAUGUGAGAACCACAGAGAUGUAGCACCAAGGGACAUGGUUAGUGGGCAGUAUUGGUGGUACUUGGACAGUUGGACUAGAUGAUCUUAGUGGUCUUUUUCAACCUUAAGGAUUCCAUGAUGCUCAUACUGCUGCUGAGCACAUUUGAAGGCCACUGAAAAUCAAGCUCACACCUCCCUGUAAAACCAGAACCUAAUUUUCAGUCCUGUAAUUAGCACUGGAUAGCCUCCGUGUGUAACUGGAAAUGCAUGUUUUCCCCUGUGGGUUAAAAUCACUGAGGCUGACUAUUUUCAAGCAUGUACAUCACAUGAUCAGUCUUAUAGAUUCGUUCCAGAUUGUUUUGCUUAUUACCAUUCCAGGUGGCUAUGAGUUAAUUAGCAAGCUAUGUGUUUCAGGGUGCACUAUAGCCAUACAUAAAUAAAUCAUUAUUGAAUACAGAGUGCA